UGUCGUUUUACAUGAUGUGUUUUAAGAUUAUAAUUUUCUGCAGGCUCUGGGAAAGAAAUGCACCGUUAUGCAUUAUUUCCUUUGAGGUGUAAAAAUAUCCAGUUACUGCCUCAGUCCAGACCUGUAUCGUGAUCUGCUAUCAGCAAUACCUCGAACCGAUGAUUCAGCGUACACAAGGUGCAUCAUACUCCCGUGUGCCUGAUCGUUAUAAUCCCUGAGGAAACUCCAUCUUACAUUUGCACCAAAAUAUGGCACAGGUGUGUUUCAUAGCUGAUGUUUGACAGUUUCAUUAAUCCUUAGUAAAUGUUUCACCAUCGUCCAGACUACAGGUUUCUUAUACGUGCAACUAAGGAUUCAUAAACAGCUGAUGAUUAAAAAUCAGAAGAGGAUAAGAAGCCCCCCCCCCCAGCUCUCUUUCUGACUCUCUCUCUAUGUAUAUUUGUAUAUAUACAAAUUGUUUUGAGCAAGAGACAAGUGACUGUAUUGUACUGAAUUUUGCACAGCUAGUAAUCGAUCUAAUGCACAAAUAAUUGUUUUUCUUAGUGACCGAUAAACAAUCCAUCCAUCUUCCAACCACUUAUCCAGUACAGAUAUGGCGUCUGAUAAUGUCUAUUCAAAAUAUUUCUUAGAAUAAGCUACUUAAUGUAUUUUGAGUACAACAAGCUUUGCAGUAGACAUUUCAGAACAUAUCAGUAUUUAAAAUUUGUAUAACUUCAAAUAUGCAUUUACUAUGCAACUUUACAACUGCAGGGUAAGAGCUGCUUGCGUGGAGAAAUCACUCAAUAAAGCAGAAAAUGAGAAGUA
Brienomyrus brachyistius is the source of this 804-nucleotide long non-coding RNA. RefSeq lists it as uncharacterized. The transcript has 2 exons. NCBI's taxonomy places the organism in Eukaryota, Metazoa, Chordata, Actinopteri, Osteoglossiformes, Mormyridae. The record is from RefSeq and is a predicted model, not a curated record.